CGUGUAGGCGGCCUAUUAAGUCAGAUGUGAAAGCCCACGGCUUAACCGUGGAACUGCAUUUGAAACUGAUAGACUUGAGUAUGAGAAGGGGUAGUGGAAUUCCCAGUGUAGCGGUGAAAUGCGUAGAUAUUGGGAAGAACACCAGUAGCGAAGGCGGCUACCUGGCUCAUUACUGACGCUAAUGCGCGAAAGCGCGGGGAGCAAACA
Molecule: ribosomal RNA, 207 nt
Filed under: uncultured bacterium
Lineage: Bacteria
Description: partial 16S ribosomal RNA
Rfam family: Bacterial small subunit ribosomal RNA
Source: RNAcentral